Molecule: ribosomal RNA, 406 nt
Filed under: uncultured bacterium
Lineage: Bacteria
Description: partial 16S ribosomal RNA
Rfam family: Bacterial small subunit ribosomal RNA
Source: RNAcentral
AUUGAACGCUGGCGGCAGGCUUAACACAUGCACGUCGAGCGCGCGGCGGACGGGUGAGUAAUGUCUGUGACACUGCCUGAUGGAGGGGGAUAACUACUGGAAACGGUAGCUAAUCCCGCAUACCAUCAGAUGUGCCCAGAUGGGAUUCGCUAGUGGGUGGGGUAAUGGCUCACCUAGGCGACGAUCCCUAGAUGGGCUGAGAGGAUGACCAGACAAACUGGAACUGAGACACGGACCAGACUCCUACGGGAGGCAGCAGUGGGGAAUAUUGCACAAUGGGCGCAAGCCUGAUGCAGCCAUGCCGCGUGUGGGAAGAAGGCCUUCGGGUUGUAAAGCACUUUCAGCGAGGAGGCGUUACUCGCAGAAGAAGCACCGGCUAACUCCGUGCCAGCAGCCGCGGUAAUUC